Callithrix jacchus (white-tufted-ear marmoset) is the source of this 2093-nucleotide long non-coding RNA. NCBI's taxonomy places the organism in Eukaryota, Metazoa, Chordata, Mammalia, Primates, Cebidae. The record is from Ensembl.
UAGCAAUGAGGUUGUCCUUUCAGGAAUAUUUAUUGAGAACAUUCUUUUGCUUUAUGAUCAACCAUGCUGCUUUUAUUGUGGCUUUUAUGAAGACACUGUUCUGGAAUAAAUACUGAGUAUGGAAUACAUACUACUCACAGUCAGUUUGGUACCUUGUUUGGGAGAUUCAUUUACUAUGCUAUUUAAAUGUUUACCUGCAGAUCAUGCUGCCUCACAUUCAUUCAUAGAAGUUUAAGGAAAUUUCAGGUGAACAGCCUGAGUUUAGCUGGUGAACUCAAACCUUCCAUUUCCUUAACUGCAUUGUAAUCACGUUUUUAUUUAUGAAUAGUUUCAAUACAAUUUAUAACUGCUUACUUUCUUUUAAUCUUUGGCAUUCAUUUUCUUGGGAGAUUAAUUCCAUACUUCAUGAAAUAAAAUAACUGUUGAAUUAAAAUUUAGAUGUCUUGGCCAAAUGUGGUGGCUCAUGCCUGUAAUCCCAGCACUUUCGGAGGCCAAGGUGGGUGAAUCACUUAAACUCAGGAGUUUGAGACUAGCCUGACCAACAUGGUGAAAUCCUAUCUCUAGUAAAAAUAUGUAAAUUAGCCAGGCAUGUUGUCACAUACCUGUAGUCCCAGCUACUAAGGGUGAAGAGGGGAAUUAAAUAAUAACAAUAAUAGUAAAAAUAAAACCUUAUAAUUUAUAGUUGCUAAUAAUAAAUUUUGCUGUGCUGUGUGCUGUUUAAUAUAAAACCUAACCCCCAGCUCUGCUUAAAAGUAACUAACUCCUUGUAAAACCUACCUUCUCUAUUCUACCCACAUUCUCAGCAAAGUUCCCAGGCAUCUCAAGACUCCUGUUUUUCUUGUUGACCAGCUGCAAGGUCACAGGGCAAGAUAACACCCAAAGAAUGUACAAUGCCUUUCUCAAAAUGCUAUUUUUCAAAUGUAACUUACAUCACAAGACAUGUUACAGAUUAAUUAACUAUUCUUUGUUCUGGCUUCUGUAAACCUGUUAGCUGCUUCAUCAUCCUGGGUGUAUAAAAAGGACCUCAUUUUCUUUCCCCGAAGCUCAGUCUUGGGAUGCUAAUCCGCUGAGCCAGUGGCCCACCUUAAUAAAAUCCUCCUGUUUCAUCUAUCGGUCUCUCUGGUCUUCUGGAUAUUCUGAAACAAGGAGGCUGAGGCAGGAGAACCAGUUGACCCCAGGGUGCAGAGGUUGUAGUGAGCUGGGAUUGUGCCACUGCACUUCAGUCUGGGUGACAGAGCAAGACUCUGUCUCAAAAAAAAAAGGCCGGGUGCUGUGGCUCAAGCCUGUAAUCCCAGCACUUUGCGAGGCCGAGGCAGGUGGAUCACGAGGUCAAGAGAUCGAGACCAUCCUGGUCAACAUGGUGAAACCCCGUCUCUACUAAAAAAUACAAAAAAUUAGCUGGGCAUGGUGGCGCUUGCCUGUAAUCCCAGCUACUCGGGAGGCUGAGGCAGGAGAAUUGCCUGAACCCAGGAGGCGGAGGUUGCUGUGAGCCGAGAUCGCGCCAUUGCACUCCAGCCUGGGUCACAAGAGCGAAACUCCGUCUCAAAAAAAAAACCAAAAAAACAUAGCCUAUUAUUUUAUGUAAGGCUUUUAAAGUUAACCUUAAACUAUAAAGUAUUUUGGUUUUCUCUAUCACCUUAAUAAUUAUAUUUUUAAAUAUCUGCUGAACUCUUCUGUCCUGUUCCAUGGUGUAACAUCUACCUAGCUAUUUUCCUGUAGUUGGACAUUUGGAUAGCUUUUCAUAAUCUUUAAAUAAUUGACAAUAGUUACCUUAUAAAUGUGAAACCGUACUGUGUUUUCACAUUUGCUUAAUUGUUUCUUUAGGAUGAAUUCCCAGGAAUGCUAUUCCUGACCCAAAGUAUAUAAACCAUCUCAUGGGUCUGAAGUGUUGUUUCCAUUUAUAUUUGUACUAGCAGAAUUUUUCAUUAAACAACAUGUAACUUCACUUUUAAAAAACACAAAUUAAGUUUGGGUUUGUGUGGUAUGUUUGUUAUUAUAGCACAAGCAAUAAGUAGGUUUACUCUUGUGAGAUGGGAACAAUUGGUUUAAAGAAAUCGGAGAAAACACAGCAUGUGACUAGGACUUAUGACGAC